This 490-nucleotide ribosomal RNA is filed under the name uncultured bacterium. Its description in RNAcentral is "partial 16S ribosomal RNA". It matches the Rfam family "Bacterial small subunit ribosomal RNA", at positions 30 to 507 of the family's 1533-position model. The record is from RNAcentral.
AUUGAACGCUGGCGGCAGGCCUAACACAUGCAAGUCGAACGGGAACAGGAAGCAGCUUGCUGCUUUGCUGACGAGUGGCGGACGGGUGAGUAAUGUCUGGGAAACUGCCUGAUGGAGGGGGAUAACUACUGGAAACGGUAGCUAAUACCGCAUAACGUCGCAAGACCAAAGAGGGGGACCUUCGGGCCUCUUGCCAUCGGAUGUGCCCAGAUGGGAUUAGCUAGUAGGUGGGGUAACGGCUCACCUAGGCGAAGAUCCCUAGCUGGUCUGAGAGGAUGACCAGCCACACUGGAACUGAGACACGGUCCAGACUCCUACGGGAGGCAGCAGUGGGGAAUAUUGCACAAUGGGCGCAAGCCUGAUGCAGCCAUGCCGCGUGUAUGAAGAAGGCCUUCGGGUUGUAAAGUACUUUCAGCGGGGAGGAAGGGAGUAAAGUUAAUACCUUUGCUCAUUGACGUUACCCGCAGAAGAAGCACCGGCUAACUCCGUG